UUGCCCUUUAGUCGAGGGGAGUUUCCUGAGAAUGGUUUUGCCUGCAGAUGGGUGUGAGCGUGGUCGAUGCUUCUGUUGCUGGCCUUGGAGGCUGCCCCUAUGCCAAGGGAGCAUCAGGAAACGUUGCUACAGAGGACCUGGUGUACAUGCUGAACGGCCUGGGCAUCCACACGGGUGUGGACCUGCAGAAGCUGAUGGACACGGGAACGUUCAUUUGCAACGCGCUGAACAGGAGAACCAACUCCAAGGUGUCCCAGGCGUCCUGCAGGCUGUGAGGCGGGACCCGGCGUGGCCCCGGAGCCGGCCGAGCCUCCCGUGUGUGUCGCUACCUCUCCUCCGUGUGCCUUGGACUCAGCAGAGAGCAGCCGCUGGGCGCUGCGACGGAACGGGCACGGACAUGGACAUGGACACGGGCACUGCCCCGGGCACUGCCCCUCAGCACGCUCCGUGGGCCGGGACGGCCCCGCCCUGCCUCAGGGGGGGGGGAGCAGGGCCCAGGGCCCGGCCCCAGGCGGCCUCCGGUGCCCGCAGCGCGGGGCCGAGCCCUGCUGAGGCGCCUCCGGGCCCGGGCCCCCCGCGGCCUCCCUCAGGCUGCACGGGAAGGACCGGGGGGGGUUGGGGCAGGGCCCCGCUGUGCGCGGUGUUUGUGACAAUAAAAAGCCCCGGGCCCCCCGCGGGGCCCCCCCCGCCCGGGCCCCGGCGCUGGCGGUCUGGGGGGGGGGGGCGGGACCGGGGCUCCGCGGCCGUUUCCGGUUCCGGCCGCCGGGGGGCGCUGCGGGGCCGCGCUGCCACCGCCGGGCUGGGCCAUCUGCGCAUGCGCAACCCGUGGCGGUGCCACGUUGCCAUGGAGAGCGGGGGGGGCCUUAAAGGGGCCGCGCCCGGCACCGGGGGGGGGGGGGGGGGGGAAGGGGGGGGGGGGGCGGGGCGGGGCCGGCCCCGGGGGGCUCCCGGGGGGCGGGGGGCUCCGUGCAGCGCCGUGGGUGGCCCCGCUCCGCCCCCGGCCCCGCCCCGCUCGGUGCCGGUGGGGUCGGGACGUGGCGGCCCCGCCCCAGCCCCAGCCCCGCGGCCAUGGCGGGCCCCGUGCUGGUCACCGGCGGCGCCGGCUUCAUCGGCAGCCACUGCGUGCUGCAACUCGCACAGGCGGGGUACGAGCCCGUGGUGGUGGACAACCUGCACAACGCCAUCGCAGGU
This 1191-nucleotide long non-coding RNA is filed under the name Anas platyrhynchos platyrhynchos (common mallard). RNAcentral's name for it is "lncRNA (ENSAPLG00000028838.1)". The record is from RNAcentral. Lineage: Eukaryota; Metazoa; Chordata; Aves; Anseriformes; Anatidae.